This 592-nucleotide ribosomal RNA is filed under the name uncultured bacterium. RNAcentral's name for it is "bacterial SSU rRNA". It matches the Rfam family "Bacterial small subunit ribosomal RNA", at positions 335 to 919 of the family's 1533-position model. The record is from RNAcentral.
AUUCCUACGGGAGGCAGCAGUGAGGAAUUUUGCGCAAUGGCCGCAAGGCUGACGCAGCAACGCCGCGUGGGUGAUGAAGGCCUUCGGGUCGUAAAGCCCUGUCAGGUGGGAAGAAAGGCCUGGAGAGGAAAGGUUUCAGGUUUGACGGUACCACCAGAGGAAGCACCGGCUAACUCCGUGCCAGCAGCCGCGGUAAUACGGAGGGUGCGAGCGUUAUUCGGAAUUACUGGGCGUAAAGCGCGUGUAGGCGGGGGGACAAGUCUGAUGUGAAAGCCCUGGGCUUAACCUGGGAAGCGCAUUGGAAACUGUUUUUCUUGAGUACUGGAGAGGAAGGGGGAAUUCCCGGUGUAGAGGUGAAAUUCGUAGAGAUCGGGAGGAAUACCAGUGGCGUAGGCGCCCUUCUGGACGGUAACUGACGCUGAGACGCGAAAGCGUGGGGAGCAAACAGGAUUAGAUACCCUGGUAGUCCACGCUGUAAACGAUGAUCACUAGGUGUAGCGGGUACUCAUUCCUGCUGUGCCGCAGCUAACGCGUUAAGUGAUCCGCCUGGGGAUUACGGUCGCAAGACAAAACUCAAAGGAAUUGACGGAAU